Molecule: long non-coding RNA, 2057 nt
Organism: Helianthus annuus (common sunflower)
Lineage: Eukaryota; Viridiplantae; Streptophyta; Magnoliopsida; Asterales; Asteraceae
Exons: 5
Source: RefSeq, a predicted model, not a curated record
CAACACAUAUUCUACUACAUCUUAAAGCACGAAGUCGGUGCAUAUAUUGAAGUUACAAUUUUCUCCUUUUGUCAGAAAUUACAGUUUUCCCCUUUGUUUCAGUUUUAUUUUCCUUUUACGUUUAGGGUUUCUGCGUUUUUUAGACGCCCACUAACAUCAAAGAGAGAGAGAAGCAUAGAGAGUGGGAGGAGAUCGAAGAUGAGAUAGUAAAGGACGUCAACCACCCUGUUCUGGUAACCACACACGGCGCCACGGCGGUGCUACGACGGAGCCGGCCAUACUUUGGAGAGUGAGGAGUCUUCAAACUCAAGAUGAGCACUUUCACGGUGGUUCAUGCCAUUUAUUUAGGUGAACAUAGGCAGGUGUAGGUUUAUUCACUCAUGGUGUGUAUAGGCGGUGAGGGUAAUUUCGGCUAGAAUUUCCAAAGGUGUACCGCCGGAGCCAUUGCAAAAGAGUUGAGCCUCGGUGGCCCAUUUACCGAUGCUCGAGUCGAAUGAGCAACCAACACGACCAUUGACCACCACUGGUUGUUCCUUUCUUUUUGUAUCAGUGAUAGAUUAUAAAAGAAAAUUGUAAAAUUCAAAGGGUAAAGAGGUAAUACGAGAGAGCCUGGUGAGCGACGCAAAUAAUCCGGGUGAUAUUCUGGCCCACUCAGAAACUUGAUUCUUCUCUCAAGUGACUUUGUAUCGUUUCAUUUCUUGCUACUAAUUCAUUGUGAUGGCUUGAUUAUUUACUUUUCACAUGUUGGGGAUUUAUAAAUUACGGGGGCUGUGUUGUCGUGAUAUUUUAAAUUGGUAAAAGAAAAGGUGACGGUCGUUACAUGGGUUUUGGUUACACGUGCUGUUGCAUGUGUCGAGAAGGAUGGGAUUGUUGUUUCAUGUGUGUUUCACCUAUUAGAUUGCUACAUCAAGAUGACAUUUUAUUAUAGGAUUACUUGAUUGUAUAUAUUCCAUAUGGUGGAUGCUAUCAUGAAUCCACUUGAGUUGGUAGAAGAUUAAAAAUGGAUGUUGUCGUAUGUGUAUAGUUGGGAGCAGCCGCAUAGAAUGCAAAGGGGUAUUUCGGGCUCAUGAGUUCAAAUUUUUGAUGUGCCAAAAUUGAUUUAUUAGAUGGGUAUCUAUUUCUUUACAUUGGGCCAAGCCUAAAAAAAUUAUUCUUGGAGUUCUAUUUACUACAGUUUGUUUAAAAUUCUGUAAUGAGAAUUACGCAUGUUAAUUUUAACUAUUUCUCUUUGUCCAAGGUAAAAUCCCUAUAAGUGUUCUUGAUUUUGGGAGGCUUAAAUUCACUUACCUUUGUUAUGCUCUUUUGUAUAGAAAUUUGCAGACCUUCCAUCAACAUCCAUGUAAGAAUAAAGUACCAAAAAGAUUAUCAAAUGCAAGUUGUCAAUGAUAUGCUUGCAAGCCGAAAGCCACAUCCAUAAUCAUUGACUGGACAUGCGAAAAACAGUGUCACCUACAUUAAAAGGGCAUGCAAGAAUGUCAAAAAAUUUAAAAUCGAAGAUGAAUGAGAAUGAGGCCGUAAAAAAUCAAGCAAAACAAUAAAGUAAAAGAUUGUUGGGCAAGGUAGCUUUUUUGUAAGCCGAAACAAUUCCAUAUGCAUCUAAUUAACUUCCAGUGGUAAAUUUCGGCAUACAACAACAAUAUGACAUGUUUGGUGAUCAAGGGAAGCAUUAGCGACGUACCACAUUUUCGCGUCAACAACAAAAAUUGGACUAGCUACAUAGGAAGUUGACAAAGUCGAUACCUUUUUUACCGAAAUGUUAUGUUAUCCGUUCGAUUUUUGCGAUAGGCCCGCGACGCAACGUGCGCGGGUCUAAUUGCUAGUUCAUUCUUAUUAUAGUGUAUGCAUGGUUGCAUACCUUAGAUGUGUUACUAAUAUUUCAUCACUACUAGAAAAUUGGGCUUUUACCACCACGUUUUCAGUAACGAUGGCAAUUGCCCUUUUGCCACGGUUUUGCUAUCAAAAACUUGGUAAGAAAUACACACGUAGCAAUUGCCCUAUUGCCACCUGUUUGCUACCGUUUUAUUUUUUGCUACCGUUUUUGCUACCGUAAUUUUGUC